UACGAAGGGGGCUAGCGUUGCUCGGAAUCACUGGGCGUAAAGCGCACGUAGGCGGGCUCUUAAGUCGGUGGUGAAAUCCUGGAGCUCAACUCCAGAACUGCCUCCGAUACUGAGAGUCUUCGAGUUCGGGAGAGGUGAGUGGAACUGCGAGUGUAGAGGUGAAAUUCGUAGAUAUUCGCAAGAACACCAGUGGCGAAGGCGGCUCACUGGCCCGAUACUGACGCUGAGGUGCGAAAGCGUGGGGAGCAAACAGGG
Molecule: ribosomal RNA, 255 nt
Filed under: uncultured bacterium
Lineage: Bacteria
Description: partial 16S ribosomal RNA
Rfam family: Bacterial small subunit ribosomal RNA
Source: RNAcentral